Molecule: ribosomal RNA, 262 nt
Filed under: uncultured bacterium
Lineage: Bacteria
Description: partial small subunit ribosomal RNA
Rfam family: Bacterial small subunit ribosomal RNA
Source: RNAcentral
AGGAUGAACGCUGGCGGCGUGCUUAACACAUGCAAGUCGAACGAUGAACCUCGCUUGGCGGGGGAUUAGUGGCGAACGGGUGAGUAACACGUGAGUAACCUGCCCUUAACUCUGGGAUAAGCCUUGGAAACGGGGUCUAAUACUGGAUAUUGUACUUUACCUCGCAGUUGGGGGUUUGGUUGAAAGAUUUAUUGGUUUUGGAUGGACUCGCGGCCUAUCAGCUUGUUGGUGAGGUAAUGGCUCACCAAGGCGACGACGGGUA